This 30-nucleotide non-coding RNA is filed under the name Homo sapiens (human). Lineage: Eukaryota; Metazoa; Chordata; Mammalia; Primates; Hominidae. The record is from RNAcentral.
UGCAAUGCUGGGCUGCGGGUGCUGCUUGUU